RNAcentral lists this ribosomal RNA (460 nucleotides) under uncultured Methylomirabilota bacterium. Its description in RNAcentral is "bacterial SSU rRNA". It matches the Rfam family "Bacterial small subunit ribosomal RNA", at positions 977 to 1434 of the family's 1533-position model. Lineage: Bacteria; Methylomirabilota (SeqCode). The record is from RNAcentral.
GGGCUUGACAUCCCACGAACCUGCCCGAAAAGGUGGGGUGCCCGCAAGGGAGCGUGGAGACAGGUGGUGCAUGGCUGUCGUCAGCUCGUGUCGUGAGAUGUUGGGUUAAGUCCCGCAACGAGUGCAACCCUCACCCCUAGUUGCCACCGGGUUAAGCCGAGCACUCAAGGGGAACUGCCAGCGUCAAGCUGGAGGAAGGCGGGGAUGACGUCAAGUCAUCAUGCCCCUUACGCCCUGGGCUACACACGUGCUACAAUGGCCAGUACAAAGGGACGCGAGACUGCGAAGUGGAGCUAAUCCCAAAAAGCUGGUCUAAGUUCAGAUUGCAGUCUGCAACUCGACUGCAUGAAGGAGGAAUCGCUAGUAAUCGCGUAUCAGCCCGGCGCGGUGAAUACGUUCCCGGGCCUUGUACACACCGCCCGUCACACCACGAAAGCUGUCUGUACUCGAAGUCGCUGAG